UUGAUAUAUUAACAGCUAGCACAAGCAAAAAUGCCUGCCACUAUGAAAAACUGCUUGAUUGUUAAAGCUUUUAAAACAUUGUUUUUUCUUAAUUUUUAUGAAUCAUAAUAAUGCCAAUGGAUGGCACAGCCUUUUAGCAGUGCUUAGCUGUGGCAAUAAUCAGGAAUAUUUCUUUUAAAGACAAAUUGUGUUUCUGAAAUCCAAUCAAAGGCAGCAAACUGAGCAAGAUGGCAAUCUUUUUUAAUUAAAUUUCUUAAAUUUUUAAAUUUUAGAUUUCUUAAUUUUUUUAAUAAAAUGUUUGUGUUGCGAUGAUAAAAGGGGUAGAAGGCAGGUCCUAGGAUUAGAGUUUCCUAUAGGCAUCAGCAAAUGUAAAAGUUUUUGACUAUGUAACACAGUCUGAACAUAUGGCUGUUUAAUGGUUUCUUUUGAUGUAUUAGCUGUUUAUGUCAAUUCUUGGUACCAUAACUAAAAUUUGCAUUUAACAAAUCUCAUACAAUUUCAACACAACCAUUUGGAUUGAUGGAUGAAAGCUCCCUUAUAUCUUUAUUUGUCUUUCCAGGGCAACCAUACUAUUACUGUCAUAAUCAAGACAAUUUUUCACAAAUCAAGCACUUACUACUUACACUGAUUUACUAAAAAAAAAAUUGUCUUAUUGUAAUUGAUUUAUUUAAGCUCAAUUGAUAUUGAAAUUAUUUCUGGUCUGAGGUUCCAGAGUUAUGGGACUUUUAACAGUAAUGUUUGAAGAUAUGUUUAUAAAACAUCGAAUUACUUAAUGAAAAGUAAAAUCACAAACAUACCAAACUCAGAGAAAAAUUCAAAACAGGAAGUGGCAAAAGCAAAAGAUCAAACACAUCAAAGGAAUGGAUAACAACUGUCAUAUUGAAUUGGUAUAGGUAUUUUCUUAUGUAGAAAAUGGUGGAAAGUAUUCUACAGGUCCAUUUUACUGACUUCUGAUUAAAACCUAAAUUUUCCGUUUGUUUUCUUAAAACUAUUUCUGUAUGCAAAACAUGAUUAAACCUCCUAAAUUUUCUAUAUGCAGAAAACAUGUGUAUCAAGCCCUCUUUGUUUUAAAUUUUCUUUAAUAUCAUAGAAAAAACUUAUUUGGAAGGAAUUGAUCUUUGUCCAGUAUGUAAUCAAUGUACCCACGGACAAAUUUUACUUGAGAGAGGCAGUAAUGUUGCAUUUAUAGUAUUGAUAUUAUACUUAUAUAAUGUUUGUAACUAGCAAGGGAGAUAACUGAGUAAUACAGCAUUAUUAAGUUAUUCUGUUCAUCAGCUAGCAACGGAAGUCAAUGACGUUCAAAAUGUUCAUUUUUGAGAAGUCGAUAUUGGUUUUAAAAGAAUUGCUCAUUAUAACUCAAAACUUUCAAAUAUGAUUUUUCCUUUGUUCGCCAUAGCACAAAACUUUCAAAUUACUCUUUUAGUGUGUACAUUUGUUGUACUAUUUAAGGUUAAAUUAAAUGCCCACUUGGAUAAUAUCUGUUAAGGAGGUGUUCCAUUAUUGGAAGGAAAUACAUAUAUAGUUGAAGAUUGAAUUUUUCUGUUGUUCACUACAACACAAAACGUUCAAAUGUGAUUUUCAUUUUCCUCCCUUUGUUAGUUUACAAACAAGUAGUAGACAGGGAAUACCAUAUACAGAAUAAGAUAGGUAUGUUGAAAGUUGAUGUCUGUGAUGUUAUCCAAUUGUUACUUAUAGAAGGUCUCAUUUGUUAGUUUCGUAUGGUCUCAAUUUUUGUACAUAUUAUUUACCUGUUAUUGUUUUAUAUUAUUUUAGUAUUUAUUCUGCAGUAAUCAGAAAAAUGUAUAAAUCUUUAUUUACCUUAUCAUUUUUA
This 1831-nucleotide long non-coding RNA is filed under the name Mytilus galloprovincialis (Mediterranean mussel). Lineage: Eukaryota; Metazoa; Mollusca; Bivalvia; Mytilida; Mytilidae. The record is from RNAcentral.